CUAAUACCGGAUAAGAAAGACGGAUCGCAUGAUCAGCUUUUAAAAGGCGGCGUAAGCUGUCGCUAUGGGAUGGCCCGCGGUGCAUUAGCUAGUUGGUAAGGUAAAGGCUUACCAAGGCGAUGAUGCAUAGCCGAGUUGAGAGACUGAUCGGCCACAUUGGGACUGAGACACGGCCCAAACUCCUACGGGAGGCAGCAGCA
RNAcentral lists this ribosomal RNA (200 nucleotides) under uncultured Lactobacillus sp. RNAcentral's name for it is "partial 16S ribosomal RNA". It matches the Rfam family "Bacterial small subunit ribosomal RNA", at positions 163 to 355 of the family's 1533-position model. The record is from RNAcentral. Lineage: Bacteria; Bacillati; Bacillota; Bacilli; Lactobacillales; Lactobacillaceae.